RNAcentral lists this ribosomal RNA (1176 nucleotides) under Vibrio cholerae O1 biovar El Tor str. N16961. RNAcentral describes it as "partial 23S ribosomal RNA". It matches the Rfam family "Bacterial large subunit ribosomal RNA", at positions 1 to 1229 of the family's 2925-position model. The record is from RNAcentral. Lineage: Bacteria; Pseudomonadati; Pseudomonadota; Gammaproteobacteria; Vibrionales; Vibrionaceae.
UGUAUGGUUAAGUGACUAAGCGUACACGGUGGAUGCCUGGGCAGUCAGAGGCGAUGAAGGACGUACUAACUUGCGAUAAGCGCAGAUAAGGCAGUAAGAGCCGUUUGAGUCUGCGAUUUCCGAAUGGGGAAACCCAACUGCAUAAGCAGUUACUGUUAACUGAAUACAUAGGUUAACAGAGCAAACCGGGGGAACUGAAACAUCUAAGUACCCCGAGGAGAAGAAAUCAACCGAGAUUCCGGUAGUAGCGGCGAGCGAACCUGGAUUAGCCCUUAAGCACUCGGUGAAGUAGGUGAACAAGCUGGAAAGCUUGGCGAUACAGGGUGAUAGCCCCGUAACCGACGCUUCAUCGAGCGUGAAAUCGAGUAGGGCGGGACACGUGAUAUCCUGUCUGAAUAUGGGGGGACCAUCCUCCAAGGCUAAAUACUCCUGACUGACCGAUAGUGAACCAGUACCGUGAGGGAAAGGCGAAAAGAACCCCUGUGAGGGGAGUGAAAUAGAACCUGAAACCGUGUACGUACAAGCAGUAGGAGCACCUUCGUGGUGUGACUGCGUACCUUUUGUAUAAUGGGUCAGCGACUUAUAUUCAGUGGCAAGGUUAACCGUAUAGGGGAGCCGUAGCGAAAGCGAGUCUUAACUGGGCGCUCAGUCUCUGGAUAUAGACCCGAAACCGGGUGAUCUAGCCAUGGGCAGGUUGAAGGUUGAGUAACAUCAACUGGAGGACCGAACCGACUAAUGUUGAAAAAUUAGCGGAUGACUUGUGGCUAGGGGUGAAAGGCCAAUCAAACUCGGAGAUAGCUGGUUCUCCCCGAAAGCUAUUUAGGUAGCGCCUCGGACGAAUACUACUGGGGGUAGAGCACUGUUAAGGCUAGGGGGUCAUCCCGACUUACCAACCCUUUGCAAACUCCGAAUACCAGUAAGUACUAUCCGGGAGACACACGGCGGGUGCUAACGUCCGUCGUGGAGAGGGAAACAACCCAGACCGCCAGCUAAGGUCCCAAAGUAUUGCUAAGUGGGAAACGAUGUGGGAAGGCUCAGACAGCUAGGAUGUUGGCUUAGAAGCAGCCAUCAUUUAAAGAAAGCGUAAUAGCUCACUAGUCGAGUCGGCCUGCGCGGAAGAUGUAACGGGGCUAAGCAAUACACCGAAGCUGCGGCAAUGUCUUUUAGACAUUGGGU